GACGAACGCUGGCGGCGUGCCUAAUACAUGCAAGUAGAACGCUGAAGAGAGGAGCUUACUCUUCUUGGAUGAGUUGCGAACGGGUGAGUAACGCGUAGGUAACCUGCCUUGUAGCGGGGGAUAACUAUUGGAAACGAUAGCUAAUACCGCAUAACAAUGGAUGACACAUGUCAUUUAUUUGAAAGGGGCAAUUGCUCCACUACAAGAUGGACCUGCGUUGUAUUAGCUAGUAGGUGAGGUAAUGGCUCACCUAGGCGACGAUACAUAGCCGACCUGAGAGGGUGAUCGGUCACACUGGGACUGAGACACGGCCCAGACUCCUACGGGAGGCAGCAGUAGGGAAUCUUCGGCAAUGGGGGCAACCCUGACCGAGCAACGCCGCGUGAGUGAAGAAGGUUUUCGGAUCGUAAAGCUCUGUUGUAAGUCAAGAACGGGUGUGAGAGUGGAAAGUUCACACUGUGACGGUAGCUUACCAGAAAGGGACGGCUAACUACGUG
RNAcentral lists this ribosomal RNA (497 nucleotides) under uncultured bacterium. RNAcentral's name for it is "partial 16S ribosomal RNA". It matches the Rfam family "Bacterial small subunit ribosomal RNA", at positions 28 to 507 of the family's 1533-position model. The record is from RNAcentral.